Oncorhynchus keta (chum salmon) is the source of this 7765-nucleotide long non-coding RNA. RefSeq lists it as uncharacterized. Lineage: Eukaryota; Metazoa; Chordata; Actinopteri; Salmoniformes; Salmonidae. The transcript is spliced from 3 exons. The record is from RefSeq and is a predicted model, not a curated record.
AAAAAUAUAUAAAAUAGUCUGUAAAUCAAAUCAAAUUUUAUUGGACACAUACACAUGGUUAGCAGAUGUUAAUGCGAGAGUAGCGAAAUGCUUGUGCUUCUAGUUCUGACCAUGCAGUAAUAUCUAACAAGUAAUCUAACAAUUUCACAACAACUACCUUAUACACACACAAGUGUAAAGGAAUGAAUAAGAAUAUGUGCAUACAAAUAUAUGGAUGAGCGAAGGCCGUGCGGCAUAGACAAGAUACAGUAGAUGGUAUAGAGUACAGUAUAUACCUAUGAGAUGAGUAAUGUAGGGUAUGUAAACAUUAUAUUAAGUGGCAUUGUUUAAAGUGAAUAGUGAUACAUUUAUUACAUACCAUUUUUAAUUAUUAAAGUGGCUAGAGAUUUGAGUUAGUAUGUUGGCAGCAGCCACUCCAUGUUAAUGAUGGCCUUUUAACAGUCUGAUGACCUUGAGAUCGAAGCUGUCCCAGCUUUGAUGCACCUGUACUGACCUCGCCUUCUGGAUGAUAGCGGGGGGAACCGGCAGUGGCUCGGGUGGUUGUUGUUCUUCAUGAUCUUUUUGGCCUUCCUGUGACAUCGGGUGGUGUAGGUGUCCUGGAGGGCAGGUAGUUUGCCCCCGGUGAUGCGUUGUGCAGACCUCACUACCCUUUGGAGAGCCUUACGGUUGUGGGCGGAGCAGUUGCCAUACCAAGCGGUGAUACAGCCUGACAGGAUGCUCUCGAUUGUGCAUCUGUAAAAGUUUGUGAGUGCUUUUGGUGACAAGCAACAUUUCUUCAGCCUCUUGAGGUUGAAGAGGCGCUGUUGCGCCUUCUUCACCACGCUGUCUGUGUGGGUGGACCAUUUCAGUUUGUCCGUGAUGAUUACGCCGAGGAACUUAACAUUUUCCACCUUCUCCACUCCUGUCCCGUUGAUGUGGAUAGGGGGGUGCUCCCUCUGCUGUUUCCUGAAGUCCAAGAUCAUCUCCUUUGUUUUGUGUGAGGUUAUUUUCCUGACACCACACUCCGAGGGCCCUGUAGGCUGUCUUGUCGUUGUUGAUAAUCACUGUAGUGUCGUCUGCAAACCUGAUGAUUUAGUUGGAGGCGGGCAUGGCCAUGCAGUCAUGGGUGAACACGGAGUACAAGAGAGGGCUGAGAACGCACCCUUGUGGGGCCCCAAUGUUGAGGAUCAGGGGGGUGGAGAUGUUGUUUCCCACCCUCACCACCUGCGGGCGGCCCGUCAAAGUCCAGGACCCAGUUGCACAGGGCGGGGUCGAGACCCAGGGUCUCGAGCUUAAUGACAAGUUUGGAGGGUACUAUGGUGUUAAAUGCUGAGCUGUAAUCGAUGAACAGCAUUCUUACAUAGGUAUUCCUCUUGUCCAGAUGGGUUAGGAGAGUGUGAUUAUGUCGUCUGUGGACCUAUUGGGGCGAUAAGCAAAUUGGAGUGGGUAUAGGGUGUCAGGUAGGGUGGAGGUGAUAUGAUCCUUGACUAGUCUCUCAAAGCACUUCAUUAUGAUGGAAGUGAGUGCUACGGGGCGAUAGCCAUUUAGCUCCGUUACCAUAGCUUUCUUGGGAACAGGAACAAUGGUGGCCCUCUUGAUGCAUGUGGGAACAGCAGACUGGGAUAGGGAUUGAUUGAAUAUGUCCAUAAACACACCAUCCAGGUGGUCUGCGCAUGCAGGAGCGGUGAAGGAGAGCCCACAUGUUUUCGAAGCGGGCCGUGUCCGUGGCACUAUAUUGUCCUCAAAGCGAAUAAAGAAGUUGUUUAAUUUAUCUGGGAGCAAGACGUGGGUGUCUGCGACGAGGCUGGUUUUCUUUUUGUAAUCUGUGAUUGACUGUUUACCCUGCCACAUACGUCUCAUGUCUGAGCCGUUGAAUUGCGACUCACAUUUGUCUCUAUACUGACUCUUAGCUUGUUUGAUUGCCUUGCUGAGGGAAUAUCUACACUGUUUGUAUUCGGUCAUGUUUCCGGUUGCAUUGCCAUGAUUAAAAGCAGUGGUUCACGCUUUGAGUUUUGCGCGAAUGCUGCCAUCAAUCCACGGUUUCUGGUUGGGGAAGGUUUCAAUAGUCACCGUGGGUUCAACAUCACUGAUGCACUUGUUAACUUCUUACGGCUGAAAUCCCGUUAACGGGAUCGAUUUGACAACAGCCAGUGAAAGUGCAGGGUGCCAAAUUCAAACAACAAUAAUCUCAUAAUUAAAAUUCCUCAAACAUACAUGUAUUAUACACCAUUUUAAAGAAACUUGUUGUUAAUCCCACCACAGUGUCCAAUUUCAAAAAGGCUUUACGGUGAAAAUAUACCAUGCGAUUGUGUUAGGUCAGCGCCAAGUCACAAAAAAACACAGCCGUUUUCUAGCCAAAGAGAGGAGUCACAAAAAGCAGAAAGAGAUAAAAUUAAUCACUAACCUUUGAUGAUCUUCAUCAGAUGGCACUCAUAGGACUUCAUGUUACACAAUACAUGUAUGUUUUGUUCAAGAAAGUUCAUAUUUAUAUCCAAAAAUCUCAGUUUACAUUGGCGCGUUAUGUUCAGUAAUGUUGUGCCUCCAAAACAGCCGGUGAUUUUGCAGAGAGCCACAUCAAUUUACAGGAAUCUGUGUUAUGCACAGAAUUAAAGAUAUACUUCUCCUUAAUGCAACCGCGGUGUCAGAUUUAAAAAAAAAAGCUUUACGGCAAAAGCACACCGUGCGAGAGUCCAGCGCUCAGCCACCAUACAGAUUAGAGGUCGACUGAUUAAUCGGAAUGGCCGAUUUCAAGUUUUCAUAACAAUCGGAAAUCGGUAUUUUUGGACACCGAUUUUGCAGAUUCUUUAUAUAAAAAAUGUACACCUUUAUUUAACUAGGCAAGUCACUUAAGAACACAUUCUUAUUUUCAAUGACGGCCUAGGAGCGGUGGUUAACUGCCUCGUUCAGGGGCAGAAUGACAGAUUUUCACCUUGUCAGCUCGGUGGAUCCAAUCUUGCAACCUUACAGUUAACUAGUCCAACGCUUUAACGACCUGCCUCUCUCUCGUUGCACUCCACAAGGAGACUGCCUGUUACGCAAAUGCAGUAGGGCCAAGGUAAGUUGCUAGCUGCAUUAAACUUAUCUUAUAAAAAACAAUCAAUCAUAAUCACUAGUUAACUACACAUGAUUGAUGAUAUUACUAGAUAUUAUCUAGCGUGUCCUGCGUUGCAUAUAAUUUGACUGAGCAUGCAAGUAUCUAAGUAUCUGACUGAGCGGUGGUAGGCAGAAGCAGGUGCGUAAACAUUUAUUCAAACAGCACUUUCUUUGCGUUUUGCCAGCAGCGCUUCUUUGUGCGUCAAGCAUUGCGCUGUUUAUGACUUCAAGCCUAUCAACUCCCGAGAUGAGGCUGGUGUGACCGAAGUGAAAUGGCUAGCUAGUUAGCGCGCGCUAAUAGCGUUUCAAACGUCACUCUCUCUGAGCCUGUGGUUGUUUCCCUUGCUCUGCAUGGGUAACGCUGCUUCGAAGGGUUGCUGUUGUCGUGGUGUUCCUGGUUCGAGCCCAGGGAGGAGCGAGGAGAGGGACGGAAGCUAUACUGUUACACUUGCAAUAUUAAAGUGUCUUUAAGAACAUCCAAUAGUCAAAGGUUAAUGAAAUACAAAUGGUAUAGAGGGAAAUAGUCCUAUUCCAAUAAUAACUACAACUUAACUUCUUACCUGGGAAUAUUGAAGACUGGUGUUAAAAGGAACCACCAGCUUUCAUAUGUUCUCAUGUUCUGAGCAAGGGACUUAAACGUUAGCUUUCUUACAUAGCACAUAUUGCACUUUUACUCUCUUCUCCAACACUUUGUUUUUGCAUUAUUUCAACCAAAUUGAACGUGUUUCAUUAUUCGAGGCUAAAUUGAAUUUAUUGAUGUAUUAUAUUAAGUUUAAAAUAAGUGUUCAUUUAGUAUUGUUGUAAUUGUCAAUUUUACAAAUUUAAAAAUAAAUAAAAAAAUCGGCCGACUAAUCGGUAUCGCCUUUUUAGGUCCUCCAAUAAUCGGUAUCGUCAUCGGCGUUGAAAAAUCAUAAUCAGUCGACCUCUAAUACAGAUACCCGCCAUGUUGUGGAGUCAACAAGUCAGACAUAGCAUUAUAAAUAUUCACUUACCUUUGAGGAUCUUCAUCAGAAUGCACUCCCAGGAAUCCCAGUUCCACAAUAAAUGUUUGAUAAAGUCCAUAAUUUAUGUCCAAAUACCUCCUUUUUGUUCGCGCGUUUAAUCCAGUAAUCCAAAUGCGCAAGCACUAUGUCUAGAUGAAAAGUAAAAAAGUAGAAACAUGUCAAAUGAUGUAUGUAAUCAAUCUUUAGGAUGUUUUUAUCAUAAAUCUUCAUAAUGUUUCAACCGGACAAUUCCUUUGUCUUUAGAAAUGAAAAGGAACAGAGCUCGUGCUCACGGCCGCGGGCGUCACUAAACUCAAGGCUUUCAGGCAGACCCCUGAUUCAAACAGCUCUUAUUCGCUCCCCUUCACAGUAGAAGCCUGAAACAAGGUUCUAAAGACUGUUGAAAUCUAGUGGAAGCAUUAGGAAGUGCAAAUUGACCAAAUUUACACUGUAUAUUGGAUAGGCAAUCACUUUUUAAAAACUACAAACCUCAGAUUUCCCACGUCCUGGUUGGAUUUUUCUCAGGCCUGCCAUUGGGGCGGCAGCGUAGCCUAGUGGUUAGAGCGUUGGACUAGUAACCGGAAGGUUGCGAGUUCAAACCCCCGAGCUGACAAGGUACAAAUCUGUCGUUCUGCCCCUGAACAGGCAGUUAACCCACUGUUCCCAGGCCGUCAUUGAAAAUAAGAAUAUGUUCUUAACUGACUUGCCUGGUUAAAUAAAGGUAAAAUUAAAAAAAUUAAAAAAAUUAAAAUAUGAGCUUUGUUAUACUCACAGACAUCAUUCAAACAGUUUUAGAAACUUCAGUGUUUUCUUUCCAAAUUUACUAAUAAUAUGCAUAUCUUAGCUUCCUGACGUGAAAAUAGCGCCCCCAAGCCAUUAGAAGUUAAUAAACUCGCUCACCGAAUCAGCGUAUACAUCAAUGUUGUUGUCUGAGGCUAUCCGGAACAUAUCCCAGUCCACGUGAUCGAAGCAAUCUUGAAGCGUGGAAUCAGAUUGGUCGGACCAGCGUUGGAGACCUGAGCACGGGUGUUUCCUGUUUUAGUUUGUCUAUAGGCUGGGAGCCACGAAAUGGAGUCAUGGUCAGAUUUGCCGAAAGGAGGGCGAGGGAGGGCUUUGUAUGCGUCGUGGAAGUUAGAGUAGCAAUGAUCCAGAAUGCUGCCAGCCCCGGCCGCGCAUUCGAUAUGCUGAUAAAAAUUUAGGGAGCCUCCCUAAAUCCCCAGCUACUUUAAAACGUUAAAAUCCCCAGCUACUUUAAAUGCAGCUUCAGGAUAUGGGGUUUCCAGUUUAUAUAGUCCAAUGGAGUUCUUUCAGGGCCGUCAAGGUGUCUGCUUAGGGGGGAUAGACACGGCUGUGAUUAUAACCGAAGAAAAUUAUCUUGGUAGAUAAUGCGGUCGGCACUUGGUUGUUAAGGAAUUCUAGUUCAGGUGAACAAAAGGACUUUAGUUCCUGUAUGUUAUGAUCACACCACGACUCGUUAAUCAUAAGGCAAACACCCCCGCCCUUCUUCUUACCAGAGAGAUGUUUGUUUCUGUCGGCACGAUGCCUGACGAAACCAGAUGGCUUUACCGACUCCCGAGUUAGCCAUGUUUCCAUGAAACAGAGAAUGUUAUGAUCUCUGACAUCUCUGGAAGGCAACCCUUGCUCGAAUUUCAUCUACCUUGUUGUCAAGAGACUGGACAUUGGCGAGUAGCAUACUCAGGAGCGGUGAGCGAUGUGCCCGUCUACGGAGUCGGACCAAGUCUGCCCUUUCUGCGGCGCUGUUGUUUUGGGUGGCCUACUGGGAUCCGAUCCAUUGUCCUGGUGGUCAAAAUAGAGGAUCCGCUUCGGGAAAGUUGUAUUCGUGGUCGUAAUGUUGGUAAGUUGACGUUGCUCUUAUAUCCAAUAGUUCUUCCCGACUGUAUGCAAUAAGACUUAAGAUUUCCUGGGGUAACAGUGUAAGAAAUAAUACAUUUUAAAAAUACUGCAGUUUCCUAAGAACGCGAAGCGAGGUGACCAUCUCUGUCGGCGCCAUCAUGGAAUCCACUCAGUUACCUGAAAUGUAUCAAUACAUAAAAGCCUGCACGCUAUUGCACCAGUGCCCACACAGUGUCCAGUGUCUCAUUGUAUUGAGGUGGCGUGGCCUGUCCAGUGUCUCAUUGUAUUGAAGUGACGUGGCCUGUCCAGUGUCUCAUUGUGUUGGGGUGGCGUGGCCUGUCCAGUGUCUCAUUGUAUUGAAGUGACGUGGCCUGUCCAGUGUCUCAUUGUAUUGAAGUGACGUGGCCUGUCCAGUGUCUCAUUGUGUUGGGGUGGCGUGGCCUGUCCAGUGUCUCAUUGUGUUGAGGUGGCGUGGCCUGUCCAGUGUCUCAUUGUGUUGAGGUGGCGUGGCCUGUCCAGUGUCUCAUUGUAUUGAGGUGGCGUGGCCUGUCCAGUGUCUCAUUGUAUUGAAGUGACGUGGCCUGUCCAGUAUCUCAUUGUAUUGAAGUGACGUGGCCUGUCCAGUGUCUCAUUGUAUUGAAGUGGCGUGGCCUGUCCAGUAUCUCAUUGUAUUGAAGUGACGUGGCCUGUCCAGUGUCUCAUUGUAUUGAAGUGACGUGGCCUGUCCAGUGUCUCAUUGUGUUGGGGUGGCGUGGCCUGUCCAGUAUCUCAUUGUAUUGAGGUGGCGUGGCCUGUCCAGUGUCUCGUUGUUUUUAUUUUUUAUUUAUUUCACCUUUAUUUAACCAGGUAGGCAAGUAGAGAACAAGUUCUCAUUUACAAUUGCGACCUGGUCAAGAUAAAGCAGAGCAGUUUGACGCAUACCACAACAGAGUUACACAUGGAGUAAAACAAACAUAGUAAAUAAUACAGUAGAAACAAGUCUAUAUACGAUGUGAGCAAAUGAGGUGAGAUAAGGGAGGUAAAGUUUUUUUAAAGACCAUGGUGGCAAAGUAAAUACAAUAUACCAAGUAAAACACUGUAAUGGUAGAUUUGCAGUGGAAGAAUGUGCAAAGUAGAAAUAAAAAUAAUGGUGUGCAAAGGAGCAAAAUAAAUAAAUAAAUAAAUACAGUAGGGAAAGAGGUAGUUGUUGGGGCUAAAUUAUAGGUGGGCUAUGUACAGGUGCAGUAAUCUGUGAGCUGCUCUGACAGCUGGUGCUUAAAGCUAGUGAGGGAGAUAAGUGUUUCCAGUUUCAGAGAUUUUUGUAGUUCGUUCCAGUCAUUGGCAGCAGAGAACUGGAAGGAGAGGCGGCCAAAUAAAUAAUUGGUUUUGGGGGUGACCAGAGGGAUAUACCUGUUGGAGCGCGUGCUACAGCGAGCUGAUAUAAGGGGGGACUUUACCUAGCAGGGUCUUUUAGAUGACAUGGAGCCAGUGGGUUUGGCGACGAGUAUGAAGCGAGGGCCAGCCAACGAGAGUGUACAGGUCGCAAUGGUGGGUAGUAUAUGGGGCUUUGGUGACAAAACGGAUGGCACUGUGAUAGACUGCAUCCAAUUUGUUGAGUAGGGUAUUAGAGGCUAUUUUGUAAAUGACAUUGCCGAAGUCGAGGAUUGGUAGGAUGGUCAGUUUUACAAGGGUAUGUUUGGCAGCAUGAGUGAAGGAUGCUUUGUUGUGAAAUAGGAAGCCAAUUCUAGAUUUAACGUUGGAUUGGAGAUGUUUGAUGUGGGUCUGGAAGGAGAGUUUACAGUCUAACCAGACACCUAGGUAUUUGUAGUUGUCCACGUAUUCUAAGUCAGAGCCGUCCAGAGUAGUGAUGUUGGACA